GACAAACGCUGGCGGCGUACCUAAGACAUGCAAGUCGAACGGGGCUCACCGCUUCGGCGGGGAGUCGAGUGGCGGACGGGUGAGUAACGCGUAGGAACCUGUCGAGCAGUGGGGGAUAACGCUGGGAAACCGGCGCUAAUACCGCAUGUGAUCGGGAGACCGAAGAAAGCAGCAAUGCGCUGUUUGAGGGGCCUGCGUCCGAUUAGCUUGUUGGUGGGGUAAGGGCCUACCAAGGCAUCGAUCGGUAGCUGGUCUGAGAGGAUGGUCAGCCACACUGGGGACU
This 283-nucleotide ribosomal RNA is filed under the name uncultured bacterium. RNAcentral describes it as "partial 16S ribosomal RNA". It matches the Rfam family "Bacterial small subunit ribosomal RNA", at positions 28 to 320 of the family's 1533-position model. The record is from RNAcentral.